GAUCCUGGCUCAGGAUGAACGCUAGCUACAGGCUUAACACAUGCAAGUCGAGGGGCAGCAUUUCAGUUUGCUUGCAAACUGAAGAUGGCGACCGGCGCACGGGUGAGUAACACGUAUCCAACCUGCCGAUAACUCUGGGAUAGCCUUUCGAAAGAAAGAUUAAUACCGGAUGGCAUAUGAUUAUCGCAUGAUAAUCCUAUUAAAGAAUUUCGGUUAUCGAUGGGGAUGCG
RNAcentral lists this ribosomal RNA (230 nucleotides) under uncultured bacterium. RNAcentral describes it as "partial 16S ribosomal RNA". It matches the Rfam family "Bacterial small subunit ribosomal RNA", at positions 15 to 235 of the family's 1533-position model. The record is from RNAcentral.